RNAcentral lists this ribosomal RNA (494 nucleotides) under uncultured bacterium. RNAcentral's name for it is "partial 16S ribosomal RNA". It matches the Rfam family "Bacterial small subunit ribosomal RNA", at positions 28 to 507 of the family's 1533-position model. The record is from RNAcentral.
GACGAACGCUGGCGGCGUGCUUAACACAUGCAAGUCGAACGGUGAAGCGCCGUCCUUGUUGGUGGGUGGGGAUGAGUGGCGAACGGGUGAGUAACACGUGAGUAACCUGCCCCCUUCUGCUGGAUAACCGCAUGAAAGGGUGGCUAAUACGGGAUAUUCUGGGUCUGUCGGAUGAUUGGUCUGGGAAAGAUAUUGUUUCGGUGGGGGAUGGGCUCGCGGCCUAUCAGCUUGUUGGUGGGGUGAUGGCCUACCAAGGCGGUGACGGGUAGCCGGCCUGAGAGGGUGGACGGCCACACUGGGACUGCGCGACGGCGCAGCCUCCUACGGGAGGCAGCAGUGGGGAAUAUUGAACAAUGGGCGCCAGCCUGAUGCAGCGACGCCGCGUGAGGGAUGGAGGCCUUAGGGUUGUGAACCUCUUUCGCCAGUGAAGCAGGCCUGCCUCGUCUGUGGGUGGGCUGACGGUAGCUGGAUAAGAAGCGCCGGCUAACUACGUG